CAGCCGCCACGGUAAAACGGAGGGUGCAAGCGUUAAUCGGAAUUACUGGGCGUAAAGCGUGCGUAGGCGGUUCGUUAAGUCUGUUGUGAAAGCCCCGGGCUCAACCUGGGAAUGGCAAUGGAUACUGGCGAGCUAGAGUGUGUCAGAGGAUGGUGGAAUUCCCGGUGUAGCGGUGAAAUGCGUAGAGAUCGGGAGGAACAUCAGUGGCGAAGGCGGCCAUCUGGGACAACACUGACGCUGAGGCACGAAAGCGUGGGGAGCAAACAGGAUUAGAUACCCGCGUAGUCCCUGUCUCUUAUAC
RNAcentral lists this ribosomal RNA (301 nucleotides) under uncultured bacterium. RNAcentral describes it as "partial 16S ribosomal RNA". It matches the Rfam family "Bacterial small subunit ribosomal RNA", at positions 509 to 807 of the family's 1533-position model. The record is from RNAcentral.